Molecule: ribosomal RNA, 301 nt
Filed under: uncultured bacterium
Lineage: Bacteria
Description: partial 16S ribosomal RNA
Rfam family: Bacterial small subunit ribosomal RNA
Source: RNAcentral
CAGCCGCCGCGGUAAUACAGAGGGUGCGAGCGUUAAUCGGAUUUACUGGGCGUAAAGCGUGCGUAGGCGGCUUCUUAAGUCGGAUGUGAAAUCCCUGAGCUUAACUUAGGAAUUGCAUUCGAUACUGGGAAGCUAGAGUAUGGGAGAGGAUGGUAGAAUUCCAGGUGUAGCGGUGAAAUGCGUAGAGAUCUGGAGGAAUACCGAUGGCGAAGGCAGCCAUCUGGCCUAAUACUGACGCUGAGGUACGAAAGCAUGGGGAGCAAACAGGAUUAGAUACCCCUGUAGUCCCUGUCUCUAUACA